This 205-nucleotide long non-coding RNA is filed under the name Elaeis guineensis (African oil palm). RNAcentral's name for it is "long non-coding RNA (EGUI_LNC072475)". The record is from RNAcentral. Lineage: Eukaryota; Viridiplantae; Streptophyta; Magnoliopsida; Arecales; Arecaceae.
UCUUUUUCAAGAUCUUUAAUUUAUAUCUAAAAAUUCAUAAAAUUUAACGAAUAGUAUUUAUAUAAUUUUUUAUAUUAAAAAAAUUAAAAAAUAUAUUAUAUUUUAAAAAUUAUAUAUCAGUUUUAUCUAAAGACAUGCUAAAUGACUUAUUUGUUUGUUAUAUAUGAUUUAGUCGUAUAAUAUAUAUUAAUAAAAAUUAUGUUUU